This 68-nucleotide microRNA precursor is filed under the name Bombyx mori (domestic silkworm). RNAcentral describes it as "mir-2774 microRNA precursor family". It matches the Rfam family "mir-2774 microRNA precursor family". The record is from Rfam by way of RNAcentral. Lineage: Eukaryota; Metazoa; Arthropoda; Insecta; Lepidoptera; Bombycidae.
ACAACAUUCGAACCGUCUGUCUUCCGAGCAAUAUCACCCGCUCGGUGGAAGAAGUUUCCCUUCGUCGU